Molecule: ribosomal RNA, 253 nt
Filed under: uncultured bacterium
Lineage: Bacteria
Description: partial 16S ribosomal RNA
Rfam family: Bacterial small subunit ribosomal RNA
Source: RNAcentral
GACAGAGGGUGCAAACGUUGUUCGGAUUUACUGGGCGUAAAGCGCGUGUAGGCGGCUUUGCAAGUCGGAUGUGAAAUCCCACGGCUCAACCGUGGAAGUGCAUCCGAAACUGCAUCGCUGGAGUCUCGGAGAGGAAGGUGGAAUGCUUGGUGUAGAGGUGAAAUUCGUAGAUAUCAAGCAGAACACCUGCGGCGAAGGCGGCCUUCUGGACGAUGACUGACGCUGAGACGCGAAAGCGUGGGGAGCGAACAGG